ACGAAGCUGGAAUCGCUAGUAAUCGCGGAUCAGCACGCCGCGGUGAAUACGUUCCCGGGCCUUGUACACACCGCCCGUCACACCAUGGAAGUCUGCAAUGCCCGAAGCCGGUGGCCUAACCACUUAUGUGGAAGGAGCCGUCUAAGGCAGGGCAGAUGACUGGGGUGAAGUCGUAACAAGGUAGC
This 185-nucleotide ribosomal RNA is filed under the name uncultured bacterium. RNAcentral describes it as "partial 16S ribosomal RNA". It matches the Rfam family "Bacterial small subunit ribosomal RNA", at positions 1320 to 1500 of the family's 1533-position model. The record is from RNAcentral.